This is a long non-coding RNA of Vitis vinifera (wine grape), 341 nucleotides long. RefSeq lists it as uncharacterized. The transcript has 3 exons. The record is from RefSeq and is a predicted model, not a curated record. Lineage: Eukaryota; Viridiplantae; Streptophyta; Magnoliopsida; Vitales; Vitaceae.
UUUUAUCCUAAAUAUCAAUAUGGUGUUUGUAAGUUAGUUUGUGAUGUUUGAAUUUGUGGAUACUAUAUUACAAUUUUCAUUUCUUUUCUUUAGUUUCCAUUGGGUGUUAGUGGCAUUGGAGAUGAAGAAAAUGAUUGCAUAUUACCUUGAUCCAAUGGCCUGUCAACCAUGUGAUGAUCUUAAGGACAUAGUUAACAUGGCAAUGAGAAUCAACCCACCGGAAAAACAGAAAACAUCAAAGAGGGAGCCAACUUGGGUGAAAGUGGUUUUGGCAGUGUUUUCAAUAUGGAUCAUUUUGGGGGUUGCUCUAUUAUGAUUGAUGUAUAGUUGGCAUAUUGAGA